GGGGCUGAUUCUGGAUUCGACGGGAUUUGCGAAACCCAAGGUGCAUGCCGAGGGGCGGUUGGCCUCGUAAAAAGCCGCAAAAAAAUAGUCGCAAACGACGAAAACUACGCUUUAGCAGCUUAAUAACCUGCUUAUAGCCCUCUCUCCCUAGCCUCCGCUCUUAGGACGGGGAUCAAGAGAGGUCAAACCCAAAAGAGAUCGCGCGGAUGCCCUGCCUGGGGUUGAAGCGUUAAAACGAAUCAGGCUAGUCUGGUAGUGGCGUGUCCGUCCGCAGGUGCCAGGCGAAUGUAAAGACAGACUAAGCAUGUAGUACCGAGGAUGUAGGAAUUUCGGACGCGGGUUCAACUCCCGCCAGCUCCACCA
This 363-nucleotide transfer-messenger RNA is filed under the name Salmonella enterica. It matches the Rfam family "transfer-messenger RNA". From Rfam's summary of the family: Bacterial tmRNA, also known as 10Sa RNA or SsrA, is named for its dual tRNA and mRNA-like properties. Its role is to liberate the mRNA from a stalled ribosome. The record is from RNAcentral. Lineage: Bacteria; Pseudomonadati; Pseudomonadota; Gammaproteobacteria; Enterobacterales; Enterobacteriaceae. RNAcentral also lists the same sequence under 3 other names.